Molecule: ribosomal RNA, 330 nt
Filed under: uncultured bacterium
Lineage: Bacteria
Description: bacterial SSU rRNA
Rfam family: Bacterial small subunit ribosomal RNA
Source: RNAcentral
UCCGUAGGCGGUGUAGCAAGUCGAUAGUGAAAUCUCUGGGCUUAACCCAGAGGCUGCUAACGAAACUGCUGUGCUAGAGUGUGAGAGAGGCGAGUGGAAUUACGGGUGUAGCGGUGAAAUGCGUAGAUAUCCGUAGGAACAUCCGAGGCGAAGGCGGCUCGCUGGAUCACAACUGACGCUGAGGGACGAAAGCUAGGGGAGCAAACAGGAUUAGAUACCCUGGUAGUCCUAGCCCUAAACCAUCAGGACUUGGGGUUUGCCCUGUACGGGGCAAGUCCCGUAGCUAACGCGUUAAGUCCUGCGCCUGGGGAGUACGGUCGCAAGGCUGAA